This 490-nucleotide ribosomal RNA is filed under the name uncultured bacterium. RNAcentral describes it as "partial 16S ribosomal RNA". It matches the Rfam family "Bacterial small subunit ribosomal RNA", at positions 29 to 507 of the family's 1533-position model. The record is from RNAcentral.
AGUGAACGCUGGCGGCAGGCCUAACACAUGCAAGUCGAACGGCAGCACAAGAGAGCUUGCUCUCUGGGUGGCGAGUGGCGGACGGGUGAGGAAUGCAUCGGAAUCUGCCCAUUUGUGGGGGAUAACCUCGGGAAACCGGGACUAAUACCGCAUACGACCUACGGGUGAAAGCAGGGGAUCUUCGGACCUUGCGCAGAUGGAUGAGCCGAUGCCGGAUUAGCUAGUUGGAGGGGUAAAGGCCCACCAAGGCGACGAUACGUAGCUGGUCUGAGAGGAUGAUCAGCCACACUGGGACUGAGACACGGCCCAGACUCCUACGGGAGGCAGCAGUGGGGAAUAUUGGACAAUGGGCGCAAGCCUGAUCCAGCCAUGCCGCGUGUGUGAAGAAGGCCUUCGGGUUGUAAAGCACUUUUGUUGGGAAAGAAAAGCAGCCGGUUAAUACCCGGUUGUCAUGACGGUACCCAAAGAAUAAGCACCGGCUAACUUCGUG